Homo sapiens (human) is the source of this 2159-nucleotide long non-coding RNA. RefSeq lists it as uncharacterized. The record is from RefSeq and is a predicted model, not a curated record. The transcript has 6 exons. Lineage: Eukaryota; Metazoa; Chordata; Mammalia; Primates; Hominidae.
AAACUACUGAGGGUGGCACAUUCAGUCCUGGGAGAGGGACAGAGAAAACAGGUGGGGCAUUCACGGUGGUCCCUGGAGCUUCAGCCACUCCAGAGGGUUCUGGAAGGCUCCAUUGCCCACUCUCCUCUUUCCACACCCCCACCUCCACAACCUGUACUCCUCUCUGCCAGGAGCCUUGUCCUAGGCUUCAGGGUGGGAGAAGUCUCCGGUCCUGCCCCAUUCCCACGGCCUCACCCCACUGACCUCCUCACUACCUUUCCCCUCUCCAAAUCCGAAAAGGCUCUCCCAUUGCCAGGACACUGAAGAAUGGGAGACCCGCCAUACAGUCCUGUCCUCAAGGAGCCUGUGGCUCAGGGAGAGGAGAGAAGGUCAGAGCUGCGCAGAGCUGGCGGUGCUUCCCCAUGGGAUGCAAUGCUGGUAGCUUUAAACCAGCUACGGUAGAAGUAUUAACACCACAGAAGUCAAGAGAGGCCUUUUCUCUGCAGAGAGCUGAUUGUUAAACAUUGACCAGCACACGUCUGCUGACACACCUGCGGCUUCUCCUGCUGUGGGUGGUCCUGAGGGCAGUGUUAGCUGGAGCUGCCUGAGGAAGCUUCAGAGGCAGAUGCAGUCUGACCUGAGCCAUGAAGAAGUGCAGAGUCCCCAAGAGGCCAGAGAGCUCACGUCUGGUUAGAGUCGGGGUGUUUGAUGGGAAGAUGAAAGGAGGAGCUGGCAUCUGAGGAGAACCAUGGAGAGGAGGGGAGGCUGGACCGGGCUUCACCUCACACGGUGCAGGAAUGGCCACAAAGUCCUGAUGAAGAGCAGCCCCUGCGGGACAUCCCUGACAAACAACCCUACAGCUUCUGCUUGAGUCUCCCCAGCAUGGGGAACUCACCACCUUCCAAGGCACCUCUCUUGUAAAUGAAGAAAUUAAAACUGCAAGUUGAAACUGAGUCACUGAUGGCGCCAGAUGUUUCUGGAGCAAAACUGGGAAAGAGGGUGAGCAUUGGAAAGACACCUCCUCCUGUUAUCUUCGAGAAGCCAUUUACUGGGAAAACAAAAACUGAGCUCCAUGAUGCAUAAAUUCCAAAAUGCAGAGGCCAAUUUCUUUCCCUUUGACCACAUGUCGGAAAGGCUCGGGGUUCAGUAACUGGAGGAGGCAGUGUUUAAUCCCAAUUUUACCAGUGAAGAAACUGAGGCUCAGAAAAACAAAGUGACUCCAAAUUCCUUGAGCACCUGGCCAGGGUCAGUCCCCACGGUGGCUGAGAUGGUUGACCAAUGGCCUCUGGGGAGAAGGCUAUGGGCACAGACACUGGUCCCUGGCUUGUUGGGAGGGAACAAGGAUGUCCAUCUGUCCUCCCUCAACACUGCCUCCUGGGGGACAAGGAAGAUGCCCAGAGUGAGUGGGCAGGGUGGGCGAUGGACUCAUACCCUGCCUUGGUGUCUCUGUGGCUCCUGGAAGAUCCUUGCAAGCAGCGGUGAGCACUGUGACUUGAGCCCUGCGGUGGUGGCUUGCCAUGUGGCCAGUCAAGGUGGACGAUGGACUCAUAUGCUGCCUGGGUGUCUCUGUGACUCUUGGGAGAUCCUUGCUGGCAGCGGUGAGCACUGUGACUUCAGCCCUGCAGUGGUAGCUGGUCACAUGGCCAGUCAAGGCUCAGUCUUCUUAGUAAUCAAAGGACUGAAAGUGUCCAGUAGCUUUGGAUGAUGGUUGAGGACUCGUUAAUAAAGACCACUGCCCUAUGGGAAUGCGUUAUACUCUCUGGAAUGAGCCGUGCAGGUGGGCUCAGAGAACAUACCAUUUGCACACUCAUAACAAUGUAAAAGUAUGAAAGUAAAAGUCAUAUGAAAUCCUCCUGUGCAGAGCUAGUUAAUGUUGGGUGACUGUCACUCCAGGCAUCUGUCUUUGCACUUGCAAGAGGGAUAACAUGUAGGUAAAUAGGAAAACACUGUACAGUAUAUGCUAUCCUUUACUUACUUUAGUCAAUGGUAUAUCAACAAACAUAAAUCUAUAUCAUUUUAACUGCAUCUGAUUCCAUUGUAUGAAUGUACCUUACUUUAUUUAAUCAGUAGGCUUCUGAUUGCAAUUUGCAUUGGGUUUUGCAUUUCAGCCAUCUUUCGUGAUCCUUAAAGCUUGGGCCUCAAUCAAGAUACACAAAAAUAUGCACUUUAAAUUACUUAAC